RNAcentral lists this long non-coding RNA (394 nucleotides) under Pelobates cultripes (western spadefoot toad). Lineage: Eukaryota; Metazoa; Chordata; Amphibia; Anura; Pelobatidae. The record is from RNAcentral.
CUGAGCACCAUCUUGAGGGAGAUGAAGGGUACCAUGUUUGGUUCCAGUGCCAGAGAGGCCACCAUGAUGAACCUCAACCUGCUGAAACAGAAAACUUCCUCUGCACUUGGCUGCUUCAUAACACAUGCUGCAGAUAUGAUGUAACCUUAAUUUUCCUGUGAUUAACAAUGGUGGGUCACCACCAGAGAGAUCAUGACAUUAUACCGAUAUUGCUUUCCUCAUGUGAUACAGCUUUUUAAUUUUUUUACAGGUGCUUAAACUUUCUACAUGUUUUGUGGUUAACACAGUCUGUCUUUGCAAGGCAGGUUUUUCUGUUACCCUUUUUCCUUUUUUUUUUUUUUUAAUAUAGAUGUAAACUGUAAACUCCACAUUAACGUAUAAGAAAUAAAGUAUA